This is a long non-coding RNA of Strigops habroptila (Kakapo), 2015 nucleotides long. RefSeq lists it as uncharacterized. The transcript has 2 exons. NCBI's taxonomy places the organism in Eukaryota, Metazoa, Chordata, Aves, Psittaciformes, Psittacidae. The record is from RefSeq and is a predicted model, not a curated record.
CUUUGCUUCCAUCUAUAAAUAAUAUUAUGAAAUACUUUUAUAUAGUGACAUAACUAUUGCUAUGCCCAUAUGCAUUGCCCAAUAGAAUACACAUUACAUUUUCUAUUUUAUGUGAUACAGACUUUAUUUAGCAUAUGUAUUUAUGUCGUGUUUAUAUACAUACUACUUUUAGGUCAUCAACAUCAGUGUGUGCUAAUUUGGGACUUCGGGCAAUAUUGGUGAUGCCUGGGAAAAAAUCCAGAGCCUGCCACCAUCAUGCAGAUGUGGAAAUCCAAAUCCAAUCCAGUUCUAUGGUACCAAAUCCAUAGAACUAACUUUAAUAAGAGGCACUGCUUAUUUACUUGAUUAUUUUCUUCCCUUUAAUACUUUGUGUUUUACAGACAUGACUGUGUGUGGUCACUGUUGAGCUGUGAGUGCAAAGUGAUAUUUACUUUUGGGAAUGAAAAUGCUUCAAAUGCUCUGUCUAAAUCUGUGAGCUGCUGUUUGAGAAGACAGACACAUGAGUUGAGGCAGGAAAGUGAUUUUAUGCUGUGCUGUAGUUGAAUCUCUUCAGCAGUGCCUAAAGGUUAAUUUUGAUGAAGUCCUUAUCAUUAAAGAUUGCUUGAUGGCAAUUAUUUGUGGAUGUUCAUAAAUGGAUGUAGAACACAUGUAUAGAAGUAAACAGGGAAACAGGGAGAGGAACAGAGAAAGCAUGUAAUCAGUUGUCUCAUGUUUGUAAUGAAGCAGCAUGUGUCUGCAGUUCACUUGGCCUCUGCCAUGUCUCUCAAAAAAGACAACCUAAUGAUGUUGGAACUUCUGCUCUAUCUUUGAAUGGAAGAAAAUGAGUCUUUUCAAGAACCAAAUCAAAAUUGCAUGACUGUAUAUAUAUAGAAAGAAAAGCUAUAUUGGGAACUAGUUGUAGAGAGUUGUCUAGACAAUUUAUUUUCUACUAAGGAGUAGUCACUCAUCUUGUACUCUAUAGGAGAUGCAUUUUAUUUACUGAAAAAAGAACUUGUCUUCUGGUAAAAGGUGGCUUUCUUAAUGUCUCUUGUCCGUCCCUCAGACUGGAAGACAGGGAGAGACGUUUAGAUGCCAUUAACAUAACACCCAAUGGGUUGUAUUAAGUACAAUAAACAUCUUGUGAAUUCAGUGACUACUGGAGCACUUGCUCUCUCCCCGUGCAGAAAUGGCAAACGUGGAAUAAUCAGUAUUUUUAGUGUAUGCAGCUUGGCUAAUUCCAGUGUUUUAUGUGAGAUCUGACAGGCAACAGCAUAGUCCAAUAUUCUGGGAGCAGGCAGAAAGGCAAUGAGUAAUGUUAAUCAGGUGAAUUCAAGUGCAAAAUAUGCAGGGAGUAGCAGGCUACAGACAGAGAAGUCUGCAAUGGGGAUGAUGCAGUAUUUGCCAUGUACAUAAGCUCUUGCUUGUUUGUUUUGCCAUUUGUAGGAUCCAGCAAUACCUUUCUUGAACAAAGAAUACCAAAUCUUGUUGCAAUAGCCAUGGAUUGGCCAGCAGAGGAAAUCACAGCAUCAGAGCAGAAAUGAGGAUUUUUGGAUUCCAGUGCUAACCAAGCUUAUGAGAACUACUUAAGAAAUGGGGAAUUUAACAGUAUUGCUGUCAACUGCUAUGAAGAAUUACUACACUAGAGGAAGAAAAGCCAGACCUCCAAAACUGUCACAAAAGAAACCUCGCACAUCUACCUUCUUGUGUUGGAAGCAGAAAGCUCCUUUUCUGGAAAGCUGUGUGGUACCUUUAGAUUAUGAUAGAAGGAAUAGUGCAGAUGCAGACUUUACCUUUGAAGAAAGGAAAUCUAGAGUAAGCUAGAGAGGAACUUCCUAGAACCCCUGUACCAGAGUGUAGUCACUGUUUUAUAGAAAAUGUGACUCUUUAACAUCAACUAUAUGGAAGAAGGGGGGAGAGAGUAUUAGAAAAGCAAUACCACCUCUCACAGCCUUACCCAACGAAUAGUUUUUAAAUCAUCAUAUCUUUCAUCCAUAAGUAGAAAUAAAGCCAUUCUCAGAAUUGUGAUGUUGUUGAAA